Gossypium arboreum is the source of this 643-nucleotide long non-coding RNA. RefSeq lists it as uncharacterized. The record is from RefSeq and is a predicted model, not a curated record. NCBI's taxonomy places the organism in Eukaryota, Viridiplantae, Streptophyta, Magnoliopsida, Malvales, Malvaceae. The transcript is spliced from 2 exons.
AAAUGCAAAGCCAUACAAAUUUUAGGAAAAAAAUUAAAAUGAAAGUAAAACAAAUCAUUUCAUUAGCAGGUCAUUUAAGACCUUCCAUUUCCUAAAUCUAUUUUCUAAACACAGCCCCCAUUUCACCAAACUUCUUAGCCCUAAAAAUCAAUUUGUUUGGGCAUAUUCCAGCAGCCACCGAGUACACCACUUCAUUAGGUGAUCGAUGGCAUUCCAGUGACGAUCGAUGAUGCCUUUGGACCCUUCCAGCUUCGAUUUUCAGCGAAGAGGGCAGAGAUCCAUGGCUGAUUUGCAAGAUUUGGCCGUACAGAGGAGGCGUGUGAAGGAGGCUGCGCGAGGAGCCACUCGUGGGAGUCCUAAUUUCUGGCCUAUUCUGGCACGUUCCGGAAGCUCCUAGUGCUGCUGAGAUAAUUUUGGAUGUAUUGGGCCUCGGGUUUUAGGGCUUAUUGGGUCAUGGGUUAUUAAAAAUGAGUUUUAAAAUUAUUGGAGUUUAUGUAAUUGGGUUAAGGGUUUUUUUUGGGGUAUUUGUUUAAUUGGAUUAAAAAUGUGUUUGGGCUGUUUUAAUUUAGUUUAUUUUGUAUUUAUUGUUUUUUGAUUUUUUGGUAUAAGCCCGGACAAAAAUUGGGCCUUACAAUGGGUAUAA